GGCCGCCUUUUCCCUUGGAUUUUCCCCAUUUUUUCCCCAUUUUUUCCCCCAUUUUUUUCCCCAUUUCAUCCCCAUUUUUUCCCCAUUUUUUCCCCAUUUUUUCCCCAUUUUUUCCCCAUUUCCCCCCCAUAUUUUUCCCCAUAUUUUUCCCAUUAUUUCCCAACACUUUUCCCUGUUUUUCCAGGACCAGAACCAGCUGGACGUGGAGCUGCGGCGGGCAGCGCUGGCGCUCUGCCUGGGCCGCCUUUCCCUGGGUUUUCCCCAUUUUUCCCCAUUUCAUCCCCAUUUUUCCCCCCAUUUUUUCCCCAUUUUUUCCCCCAUUUUUUCCCAUAUUUUUCCCAUUAUUUCCCUGUUUUUCCAGGACCAGAACCAGCUGGAUGUGGAGCGGCGGGCA
Molecule: long non-coding RNA, 394 nt
Filed under: Lonchura striata (white-rumped munia)
Lineage: Eukaryota; Metazoa; Chordata; Aves; Passeriformes; Estrildidae
Description: domestica (Bengalese finch) lncRNA (ENSLSDG00000001073.1)
Source: RNAcentral